ACCUGAGGAAACUCAAUGGAACAUUGCAUUUUUGGUCCCUGCAGGUGUUUUUGUGGCAUCUGUACCUACCUUGGCCUUGACAUAUGAAGUCUGCUUGAGGCUUCUUCACCCACCUGUCCACAGAAG
Molecule: long non-coding RNA, 126 nt
Filed under: Dasypus novemcinctus (nine-banded armadillo)
Lineage: Eukaryota; Metazoa; Chordata; Mammalia; Cingulata; Dasypodidae
Description: lncRNA (ENSDNOG00000051682.1)
Source: RNAcentral